GAUGAAGAACGUAGAGAAAUGCGAUAAGUAAUGUGAAUUGCAGAAUUCAGUGAAUCAUCGAAUCUUUGAACGCACAUUGCGCCCGCCAGUAUUCUGGCGGGCAUGCCUGUUCGAGCGUCAUUUCAACCAUCAAGCCCCAGGCUUGUGUUGGAGCCCUGCGGCUGCCGCAGCCUCCCAAAACCAGUGGCGGGCUCGCUAUCACACCGAGUGCAGUAGUUUACUCUUCGCUCAGGGCGUGUGGCGGGUGCUAGCCGUAAAACCCCCAACUUCUCAAGGUUGACCUCGGAUCAGGUAGGAAUACCCGCUGAACUUAAGCAUAUCAAUAAGCGGAGGA
Molecule: unclassified non-coding RNA, 334 nt
Filed under: soil metagenome
Description: partial contains 5.8S ribosomal RNA, internal transcribed spacer 2, and large subunit ribosomal RNA
Rfam family: 5.8S ribosomal RNA (bases 1-120)
Source: RNAcentral